AUUGAACGCUGGCGGCAGGCUUAACACAUGCAAGUCGAGCGGAGUGAUGGUGCUUGCACUAUCACUUAGCGGCGGACGGGUGAGUAAUGCUUAGGAAUCUGCCUAUUAGUGGGGGACAACAUCUCGAAAGGGAUGCUAAUACCGCAUACGUCCUACGGGAGAAAGCAGGGGAUCACUUGUGACCUUGCGCUAAUAGAUGAGCCUAAGUCGGAUUAGCUAGUUGGUGGGGUAAAGGCCUACCAAGGCGACGAACUGAGGCGGGUCUGAGAGGAGGUACUGCCACACUGGGACUGAGGAACGGCCCAGACUCCUACGGGAGGCAGCAGUGGGGAAUAUUGGACAAUGGGGGGACCCUGAUCCAGCCAUGCCGCGUGUGUGAAGAAGGCCUUAUGGUUGUAAAGCACUUUAAGCGAGGAGGAGGCUUACCUAGUUAAUACCUGGGAUAAGUGGACGUUACUCGCAGAAUAAGCACCGGCUAACUCUGUGCCAGCCGCCGCGGUAA
RNAcentral lists this ribosomal RNA (502 nucleotides) under uncultured bacterium. Its description in RNAcentral is "partial 16S ribosomal RNA". It matches the Rfam family "Bacterial small subunit ribosomal RNA", at positions 30 to 523 of the family's 1533-position model. The record is from RNAcentral.